RNAcentral lists this ribosomal RNA (492 nucleotides) under Escherichia coli. RNAcentral's name for it is "bacterial SSU rRNA". It matches the Rfam family "Bacterial small subunit ribosomal RNA", at positions 8 to 489 of the family's 1533-position model. Lineage: Bacteria; Pseudomonadati; Pseudomonadota; Gammaproteobacteria; Enterobacterales; Enterobacteriaceae. The record is from RNAcentral.
AGAGUUUGAUCCUGGCUCAGAUUGAACGCUGGCGGCAGGCCUAACACAUGCAAGUCGAACGGUAACAGGAAGAAGCUUGCUUCUUUGCUGACGAGUGGCGGACGGGUGAGUAAUGUCUGGGAAACUGCCUGAUGGAGGGGGAUAACUACUGGAAACGGUAGCUAAUACCGCAUAACGUCGCAAGACCAAAGAGGGGGACCUUCGGGCCUCUUGCCAUCGGAUGUGCCCAGAUGGGAUUAGCUAGUAGGUGGGGUAAAGGCUCACCUAGGCGACGAUCCCUAGCUGGUCUGAGAGGAUGACCAGCCACACUGGAACUGAGACACGGUCCAGACUCCUACGGGAGGCAGCAGUGGGGAAUAUUGCACAAUGGGCGCAAGCCUGAUGCAGCCAUGCCGCGUGUAUGAAGAAGGCCUUCGGGUUGUAAAGUACUUUCAGCGGGGAGGAAGGGAGUAAAGUUAAUACCUUUGCUCAUUGACGUUACCCGCAGAAGAA